Long non-coding RNA from Notothenia coriiceps (black rockcod), 1355 nucleotides. RefSeq lists it as uncharacterized. The transcript is spliced from 3 exons. Lineage: Eukaryota; Metazoa; Chordata; Actinopteri; Perciformes; Nototheniidae. The record is from RefSeq and is a predicted model, not a curated record.
AUAGGAGGAAGGAAGUGAGAUAAAUGGAGCAGGGAGAAGGAGAAAGAGGGGGCUAAAAGAGAGAAGCGUCCACAUGCAUCCCAUGAUAAUGCAGCACUUUAAGCUCCAGCUCGUGGUGGCGUUGGGCCUGCCAGGAACAGCAGGAGCGGCCCACACCUUCUCCGGAAGAGAAGAAGCUACCGCUGGGUCAUGGCGCCAUCGUGUGGCAGCACAGAGGGGAGAGGAGACAUUUCAAUGUGAGGUGCACAGAUUGACAUAAUAUGCUUGCCAUUAUUGGUUAAGUCCCAACAUAUGAUCAUAUCAAAUGGGGCCUCGAAAUGUUAUAAUUUUAGCAAAAAUAUUUGAUCUACAAAUAUUGCUACCUCUACAUUUCUCCAGUAUUUAUUGGUUCUCUUGAUAACAUUGAAUUAUGCAAAAAAAUCUAUUGAAUGUUGCAAAAGUAAAUUUCUACACACUUGCUUUUUCUUACUGUUUUCUUUCUAUAAUGCUCUCAGUUUGAAUUCAUUUAAUGAACACUGAUGUGAUGAGCCUUUUUCUGAUCUCUUUGAAAAAACUGUUCAAUAAAGUUGGUCUGGUAAAGUUAAAUCUUUAUAUUUAUAAGAAUUGACAUAGAUAUGACAUGGAAAUAUAUAUAUACAUAUAUCAAAUAAAAUACUUUAAUGGAAAAAAUUGAAAAAUGUUAAAAUUCUGACAGAUUUUAUUAUAUUAUUAGCAGGAAUCUGACAGCUGUUAGUAUAAAAACGAUCAGAGAUUCUAUAUAUUCUUAAGAAGACUUUUAACUACUUUAAGCCAUGCCACUACAGACCAAACACGACAUGAAGACUAAAGUAAUAUUUAAUAAGGCUUUCAUUCAUGGAGCUGUUACCCAAGUCUUUACGCCUCGUAAACUCACUACAUUUACAGGGCUGCACAUGGGUUCCCCAACCGAAAAAUAUGACUUGAAAAAGAUAUCCAUUAAAUACCCUCUUGUGUAGAUGCUGCACUCGGUUGAUGUGUGUGUGUUUGUUUGGGAGCCCCUGGGUUAAAGGUGCUGUCAUCGGAUCUGAUGGAGGGAGGGAGGAGGAAGAGGAGGAAGAGGAGGAGGGGGGGUAGAGGAGUGGACAGACACUGGUAGCGGAGGGGGAGGCGUUUGGAUCGGCGAAGACGGGGAGUGAACCAGCAGAGAGGGUGAGAAAGCAGCGGAUCUGGCCCUUUAAAUCACAAAUACAGCGCUUUCGGAGGGACAAGCCAAUGUGAGCUCACCUGCAGUCCAGCUCCGGCGUUUCGACUUGGCAUUGAAUUGUUUUCUUGUCAUUCCUGCACCGCUAACAUCUCCAUCCAGUCACGCUUUCACGAGAGUCCUGUCUGCCACCACC